UACGUAGGGGGCAAGCGUUAUCCGGAUUUACUGGGUGUAAAGGGAGCGUAGACGGCAUAACAAGUCUGAUGUGAAAGGCUGGGGCUUAACCCCGUGAUGGGAAGGAAACUGGGAAGCUGGAGUAUCGGAGAGGAAAGUGGAAUUCCUAGUGUAGCGGUGAAAUGCGUAGAGAUUAGGAAGAACACCGGUGGCGAAGGCGACUUUCUGGACGAAAACUGACGCUGAGGCGCGAAAGCGUGGGGAGCAAACAGG
This 252-nucleotide ribosomal RNA is filed under the name Dialister invisus DSM 15470. RNAcentral describes it as "partial 16S ribosomal RNA". It matches the Rfam family "Bacterial small subunit ribosomal RNA", at positions 524 to 776 of the family's 1533-position model. Lineage: Bacteria; Bacillati; Bacillota; Negativicutes; Veillonellales; Veillonellaceae. The record is from RNAcentral.